RNAcentral lists this long non-coding RNA (1842 nucleotides) under Strigops habroptila (Kakapo). RNAcentral's name for it is "lncRNA (ENSSHBG00005010249.1)". Lineage: Eukaryota; Metazoa; Chordata; Aves; Psittaciformes; Psittacidae. The record is from RNAcentral.
AGCCCAAUAAACAUUUAUUGGAUUAACUAGAGGCAUAACAUUGCACAGAAUAAACUAGAGCCAAAUCAAAUAAAAUAUUCUUCCAGUUCUGUAGAGGAUCGAGAUGCAAACAAAAAGAUUUUGAUACUUCUAUGGCUCUCCAUUGGCACAGUAACCAGAGAGGAAUAUUCAUUAGAUCUGACUAUAAAUGUUUAUCUUGUGUGGGAGGUCUUAGUAUAGUAAUAUGUAUUAGAAACUUGGUAUUUUUCCAAUCAAGCCUUCCCACUUCCAUUUACAUAUAUUUAAUUGUAAAUAUCCAUUUUCCUACCUGAAGCACUUUAAAUAAAUGCACAAUAACCACAUUCUACACAGAAGAGGAGUGAAUAGCUUAGGAGACUCGUGAUGAGCCCUAGAACUACUCCAGCCUCCACACAGCUGGUCCAGAGCAAUGCAAGAUGAUCCCUCCUGCCAGCUCGUGGGGGGCCUUGUAGACCAAGUAGGUGAUCUCACCCUCAUUUCUCCUGAACUGGGAUAUUUCCCCCCAAACCAAUCAAUCACCGUUGACAGAAACUGGCAUCUAUACCAACGGAAAGGUGAUGGCUGGUAAGGAGAUGCCCUCUCACACACAGAAGUGGGUUUCUUCAGAGCACAACCAACUUCAAUUUACACUUCUCUUUUCUGAGCACUGAAAUGCAUGGGCAAUAGAAUUAAUAUACUUUGUAACUGCAACUUCAAAACAGAACUGCAGAAUGCACAGAAACUCUCAAGUGAGGUGUCAUCAUCUGACCUCAACUGAACACUGCUGUUCACCACAGUCCGCAGCAGCAGUGCUGCCUUCGGGGGGAACACACUUCAGCCCCUUGAAGCAGGGAGGUGGCAGGAGCCCAGAGCUGCCCUAGCUCUCCCUGAGAAUUCCCCGGAUACACAGCACCUUUCAGCUGGCGCAAACCCAUACCACUUAUGCAUCGGGGCUACAGGUGUACCGCAGGAGUGCUUUUGACUGCUGCUGUCACCUAAUGCAUAGCUGACAUAGGGUACAUCAUGAGUUCCUCAGACAUACGCAAAAGCCCCAGUUUGUGACAGAAAGCAUACUUUUUUUCUUUGUGACGGAAAGCACAUUUUAGAAGAAGAGAAAGAAAAAGUUUUCCAGGCAGGAUGCACUGAUUGAAGACAAGUGAAAAAAAGCUGGAAGCUAUUCUUUCAAGAUGAGGUUAUGAAACCAAAUUGAUAAAAUGGGUAACUGUGAAUAAGCAUGAAAAAAGCAAGGUCUUAUCAGCUGGUUUCACAGAAGAUGUAAGUUGGGAAGAAGAGAUAGGCUUUCACAUACUCAAAACCACUCUUCAGGCAUGAUCCAGAGGCAGUAAGCUUCAAGCUAGAGCCGAGGUGAGGAUGAAGCUUUGUAAAUUAGUCAUACUUGAAGCCUCUCCCCAAGAUACUCUGUACCGAAUUAACUAACAUCUUGAAUAUUACCGCAGUCACACUGACCUACUGCUACAGUAUGCAUUAACGAUUUAGUAACAUAAAAUUGGGGAGCGCUGGUGUUGAAACAGACCCUGGGCAGAAAUGCAUGUCCUUUGUACUGCUUACCAUGAUGAAGCCAUAUUUGAUUGCUAGAGUUACAUUAAUAGCAAAAUCAAAAUUUUAUUUUCAAUGCCAAAACUCAGAGGGUAAUGUCACCAGAUGACUUAUGGGGCAAUCUGGAAAAGAUUAAGAGACAACAUCUUUUGCUUUGUAUUUACAACCAGGUUAACUAUGAAUUCAUUUUAUGAGUUGUUGUAGGGUAUAUUUGUAAGGUGAAAUUAAGAUAUCAUUUACCUUAAUACUGACCAAUUGAAGUCAGAGGGACUACAGGAAGUAAAAAAA